RNAcentral lists this long non-coding RNA (220 nucleotides) under Elaeis guineensis (African oil palm). RNAcentral describes it as "long non-coding RNA (EGUI_LNC023513)". The record is from RNAcentral. Lineage: Eukaryota; Viridiplantae; Streptophyta; Magnoliopsida; Arecales; Arecaceae.
UAACGAUUUAACAUCUUCAGAACUUCGGGAGUUGAUGGCUUAGAUCUAGCCAUACGAUCGGUAUGAGCCCGAUGACCUCCUCGAAAAUGGAUCGAGGAUAAAGUCCGAAGAUGAAGUCUGAGGAUAGAAGUCGAGGUGGAGUAAUCCCAUAAUAUUUGGCCCCCCACUUCCGAGUUUGAGAUGGCUGCCUUGGGUGAAGAAAGUAGCAGUCUUUGGGACA